This 151-nucleotide small RNA is filed under the name Rattus norvegicus (Norway rat). RNAcentral's name for it is "Vertebrate telomerase RNA". The record is from Rfam by way of RNAcentral. Lineage: Eukaryota; Metazoa; Chordata; Mammalia; Rodentia; Muridae.
GUUCAACACCAGUCUAACCCUAUUGUUAUAGCUGUGGGUUCUGUUCUUUUGUUCUCUGCCCGCUGUUUUUCUCGCUGACUUUCAGUGGGCCUGGAAAGUUCAGACAUGCAGCAGGUCACUGCGCAUUCUUGCCAGCAGCAAACCACUGAAC